Molecule: non-coding RNA, 102 nt
Organism: Oesophagostomum dentatum (nodular worm)
Lineage: Eukaryota; Metazoa; Nematoda; Chromadorea; Rhabditida; Strongylidae
Source: Rfam
AUUCAUUCCUGGACAUAUACUAAAAUUGGAACAAUACAGAGAAGAAUAGCAUGACCCCUGCGCAAGGGUGAGAUGCAAAUUCGUGAAGCGUUUCAAAAUUUU